CUCCUCCAACCCCGGCAGUACCGGCCCCGAGACUCUCAGCCGGCUACUCCGGAGGUGUUCCUUGUUCACCAGCAGCCGCCGCCGACCGCGGCGGUGUUCUCUGUCCCCGCGCCGCCGACUACUGCGGAGGUGUUCCGUGUCCCCGAGCCGCCGCCGACUACUGCGGAGGUGUUCGGUAUGCCCCUGUUCUUCCAAGAGUUCUAAAAAGUAGGAUGGGAGAUCAAGCUCCUCUUUUGUGGAACCAGCUUCCACUUUCAGAUUCGGUCAGCUCUUUUAAGAUAGAGCUCAUAACUUUCCUCUUUGAUAUUGCUCAUAGUAGGGCUGGCUCAGGUUAGCCCGGACCAGCCCUAGUUAAGCUGCGAUUGUCACCACUGGACAAUGGCCCUGAACCCAAAUGCACGACUCCUCAGGCGAUGUUCAAAAAAAUCAAAGUUUAUUAACAAAAAGAAAAUGCUGCUGAAAUGAAAAUAACUCUUGGUCGAGGAAAAAAACUUAUACUAAAUCUAAGAACAAAAAAGAUUACAACUAGAAAAUAGUUCUUUGACUUAGGACAAGACCAACCAACCAACAUAUACACACAGGGUAAGGGCACAGGUGGGAACACGUGUUUGUGCUUUCUCGCAGGUCUCCGUAGAUCGUAGUUCCGUCAGGGCCUUGGUCCUGACUCCUGCCUGGUCCCGUGGACACCUACUGCAUACCAUUGAUAUUCCCAUUUAUAUUGCUGUAAACAUCAAUGUGCAUAACUAACUUGUUUCUUCCACGGAGAAUUUGUGUUUUCUCGCCUCACACGUUCCCAUGGAUCAUGGUUCAAUAUGGACCCUGUUCCUGCCUCCUACCAUGGCCCUGCUGACACCUGUUGCUGGUAUCAUCACAGUUAUUAUUAUUAUAAUUAUGUAUCACAUUGCUAUUAAUUUCAUCAUAAACCAACAUUACCCUUUCCUAAAGUCUGUGCUUUCCCUCCCCACAGGCUUCUGUGGAUAGUGGUUCUAUCUGACGGUGGUUGUCCCUGCAGUGGUCCUGCUGUACUUUGAAUAAUUUCUGUUAUAGGAAUUGAAUUGUACAUCUUUUACAUUGUUCAUUCUGUACACAUGACAUCCAUAGUAGUCUGUCCAUCCCGGGACAGGGAUCCCUCCCUCCUGACGUUCUCCCUAAGGUUUCUUCCCUUUUUUUUCCCAUGGAAGGGUUUCCUCAGUUCUUCCUGUGCCAAUGUGAGGGUUUCUGGACAGAGGAUGUCGCAUGUGUACAGACUGUAAAGCCCUCUAAGGCCAAUUACAAAUUAGCGAUUUUGGGCUAUCCAAAAUAAAAUCAAUUGAUUUGAAUUUUCCCUAAACUUAAAUGAGUGGUUAGGUUGCCUGAAAUCAACCCAAACGAAAUGUUUUCUUAAAGCAUGUAAUGACCCAUAAGGGUUAAUAACGAAGCAUUGCUGAAAUGUGACACAACAUUAAGAUUGCUACAUUAUCCAGAGACAGUCUUCUCUCUGAUAGUCUUGUUUUCCUAUAUAGAUCAUACAGAGGCAUCAGUUCUAAACUGUGACCGUUAUAUAACCAGUUAAAAGUUCCUGAUAGCAAUGGCAACAUGUAAUACAUUAUAACACGAUCUUUAUAAAGAAAAUGAAUAUUGUAGCAUAAAAUGCAUUUUAGGGCGUUGGGAUCAGCUGGACAAGAUGUAAACACUCAUUGCUACUCCCCUGAAGAAGGGUCUUUAAGAAACAGAAGGUAGGAAGGCGAGGGAGGAGGCAUGGGAAGUAAAGAGAGCGCGCAAGGGAAGGGCGGGGAAGUUCGAUGCAGAUGGGGGAAUGAAACAAUGGGGGGAUCUGUGACAUGACGGAAUUCCCCUACAUUCCCCUGUUUCGCCCAAGACCGGCAGUGACAGCGGCGUGAUUGCACGCACAUACACACACACACACACACACACAGCCUGCCUGGCAUGUGCAACAAUAAAGAACCAUGUGAGUAAAGUAUGUUUGCAUCUGCAAACAAGAGGGUUUAUUGUGAGUUAAUGCUGGUAUGAAAUCAAAUCUCCUGCAAAAAAAAGCAUAAAAGCAGCGUGACGUUUUUCCUUUUUUUACUGGAUUAAAGACGCUGAUGAGGCGAUGUGACGAGGGACUACAUUUAGGAGCACAUCAUGUAACUAGUUGCGCAGUGCAGACCCGCCCGACCUUACACAACAGCCACAAAUAUUUCCACACGCACAAACUCAGGCAUAUUUUCGGCCACACUACUCCCACUUCAGUAAUGGGGUCACAGAGAGCUCUGCUGCUCUCUUUUGUCGGUUGGCCUUCAGGGCCGAUGGACUCCCUUCCUUUUUACAUGUCCUCAGGAGUCGUUGUUAGCCCGCAUAGCUGCAGGGCUGGUUUAUUAAGGUGGGCACACGGGACAGCUGAGGUAGUAGGUAGCCCCCGGGGCUCAAAUCUAUGGCAAGAUGGCAUGAAAAUAUCUGGCAUAAUGACAGGUGGAAAUAUAGUAAUACUAUUCUUUUAUGAAAAUAAAAUAUAAGAAAUGCUUUGAAGCGAGGACGUUGUGAGGCAGCAUGUCUUAGUUUGCUGCUACAGUGUCUCACUGUCAUGGAUGCGUGGUAGGCAGGACUCAAAUGCAGAGUUCAAAAGCAAAAACGACUUUAAUAGUCAAAAAGGAAACUAAGCAAAGGCCAACGGGCAAAAAGGCACACAGGAACCGAGCACAUACAGGACGAUAGACAAAGACGCGACAAGUGACACAAGAGACACACGGCUUAAAUACACUAGGGAGCUGCAGGUGAUUGGACACAGGUGGAAACAAUCAGACAAUCACAGACGAUGACAGGACAAGACAGGAAGUGAAGUUACCCAGGGAGACAAGAAGCAGAAAACUACAAAAUAAGACAGGAAAUAAACCCACACCGUGACACUCACGUCCACCGAGAAGUCAACGUUGAUUUAUUUAUUACAAUAGGGCACUUUGUGCUUUUUUCCUAAACCUAACAAAGUAGUUUUGCUGCCUUCACUCAACUAAGUGUAACUCAUAACUUUUAGUAAAAGCAAAACAUUUACACGUGUCGCUGACCUUUCAUAAGAAACGAGUAGCUUUUAAAAAGAUGUCGUACUUAGCAUUGUAUUCGGAUAUGUUGACUCCAUUGACGUAUGAACCGAGACGGUUAAACACACACUGCUCAACGGGUCAAAAAUCCUCCCCGUAUGCUGGAGAGCGCACAGUGCUAACUUCCAUGUAGAAAUGUACAUGCAGUCAGUUACCUCAGCAGACACACGACAAACCCAUAAUGUUCUACCUAGAGAGCUGUACUGUCCCCACGCACGCAUACACAGACACACAUUCAGAAGUACAGAAUUACAGACAAGUCAAGGAAUCCUGCUGUAUUGUAUAAAAUCCCCUUUGUGUGUGUCUGUGUGUGUUUGCAUGGGCAUGCACUAUCCUAUCCUCGUCAUGUUUAAUUACUAAAUUCAACUUGAUCUGUUAUUGUACUCUCCUCACGCGAGGUGCCCACACACACACACACACACACACACACACACACACACACACACUGUUGUUAAAUAAAGAACAGAAGCUUGUUUCUAGGAUCACUCUUGAGAGCAUGCGUGUGUGUACAGAUGCAUCCUUUUUUUAUUCCUCCAGUUUGGUGCAUUCUGUACACGCAACGUGUACAUCCGCUACCUUAUCUGUAGCCGUUACCCUUUGCAGGGGUUGCAGAGUCCUUUGUUUUUUUGUCUCAUGCUUGCAGAACCACUUCGCCGUCGCUAAAAACUCUCAGCUCUCCGGAUCAAUUACGUAUGCAAGUUAACCAAUCAUGGCAGGAUUCUCAGAGUGGAGUAACCUGAGCAGAAAAUGAUGGUGCUCUCACUGUGUGUGUGUGUGUGUUGUUUUCAGAGCUACUCCCUGAUUGGUUGACACAGUCUUUUUUUUGUGCAUGUUCGUACAAGUGGCGCUUACGGCGGUCCGGAGCGCCAUCGUUGUUGCGGGACUGUGGCUGCCCGGCUCUCGGCUUCUGUCGCCAUUGUUCGCGCUGUUAGCGCUGUUAGCACCGUUGCAUUCAAGCUGCCGGCUUAGUUGUCAACAACAAUGUUCAUAAUCUUGUAUUUAAUAGCGUUAACGAAUAAUAUUUAGAACACAGAAUCUAACACCUAAAAAAAAGAUACUUAAUUAUAUGUUAAAAUUUAUUUCAACCUUUUAAAGAUGUCUUUGUUUUUAUGAAAGAAAAUUGGUGUACAACUAAUCACGCCAUAAAUUUUCGUAUUUUGCACAUUUUGUUGAAGAACAUGUAAAUGCUGUAAAUAAAGGAAAAUUGUUUUAUACUUUAUCACCUACGCUGUGUGUUUCCUAAUCAUUUCUUUUAUCUAUGAUCCAGUACUCACUAGCAAAAACAGCAAAAGCCCAAACUGAGGUAUAAAUCAGAAACAUUUCUGCACCAUGUCGCAUGAAGCCGUCCUUUACUUCUCCACGUUGCACUUUUGGCAUGUGGGGAUUUGCCUCUCACUGACCCGGAAUUAAUGACAACAAAGGGAUAUCCACCAGCAGGGCAGAACACUCUCUCUCACACACACGCACACACACACACACACACACACACACACACCAGAGGAGCAUCAUCCUGUGCUAUAUAUAAAUAAGGCACAACCCCAUGCACACAAAUGCACACCACUCUGCUGGCCAUACACAUGACACACAUUGCUAUUUGUAUAUACAUAAGUGUAUAUACACACAGACACACACAUGUAUAAAUAAAUAUAUACGUGUAUAUUUGAUGCCGCUAACACACACGUGCACAGAUAAACACACCAGCUUCCUGGCUGUAGCCCUCAUGUCACACGCGAUGCCGGGAACUCUGUGACCUGUUGUUCACAGCAGUACAGUCACAAUAACAGCUACUUUGGCAUUAAGAGACAAACGCCUGCAGGCGUGUGGAAGCUGGACAUGUGACCAGACCAGAGACAGUUUUGCGAUGGGAUCACAAAGGCCGCGGCGCCAAAACUGGAACGUGAGCUGAAAUUGGGGAGUUGGUGUGUAACAGAAGACCCUUUUCCUGUCCCCUACCCAUUUCCAGCGCCAUUGCUCUUAAACAUAUGCAGACUUGACCUUUGAACUAGCACCUGCUGUGAAGUGUUUGUCAACUCAAUAGUUUACAAAGAGAGAGGGAAAAAAACUAAAGCCUAUAUUUGUUCUUAAGAAAAUAGUUAGAUGAGGGAUAUUGAAAUAUCACAUGAUUUUCUCAUGUUUUUUGGGGUACAUUAAUUGUGGUAUUAAUCAAAAAUAAAAGAAAUUGUAAAUUUCAGGAAGAAUCCAUACAAUAAGUGUUGGAGUAUUCAGUAAGAAAAUAAUCGUCAGGGGAAGCCCUGUUUGCAUGGUGCUGCUGUAGUGGGGACACGUGCAGAGGGAAGCAGAGGUCAACGGCGUCACCUCUGUGUCUCCUCUGAUGGUCUGCCUCAUUUUUUCAGGGGCUUAACCGAAGAGACCCUGGGCGGGGUCAUACGCUGCAUCCAUGACCUCUGCCUGAUCACUGAGGCCUGGGAGGUUCAGCCACAGGGCCCACUGAGAAAGGGACAGCACACAAAUCUCCCCCCUUCAGGGCAGCCGAUCCUAAACCGAUUCUGUCCAGCCUCCAUAUUAUGAUAUAUGGGAGCAUUGAAGGCCCUUGACGGUACAACACAGACGCAUGCUUACAAAGGGAAGCACCGUCAAGACGACUUGGGUUCCAAUUCACGGGUCCCAAUUCACAAUUUAAAUUUCAAGUUACUUUACAUGAUAGGUGUCGCCCGUCCCCGCAAUCCUUUUAGUGGCAUUACGCCCUGAAAGUAUAGGAAGGCCUUUGCAGUCAUUCCAAGGUGGGUGGCAUCUACUACAUGUCUCAACGGCCGACUUUACAUGGCAUGUACUGUGCAGUAGGUCACACGUGUUCUGCGUGACCUGUAAAUGCUCCCUUUCCUUCCAACAUUGCAUGAUCAUUUAUGAUUUAUCAUGUGUGACGUCAACCAUAAACGCCUCCUUUCAUGCAAAGUGUGUGUGAACACUCUUUUACCCAUAGGCCCAUAGAAUGGAAAAGAGAAUGGAGCCUUCUCUCUUUACCAAUCUCUGUCUUUUUACCUCUAUUUUUACCUUUCUCCGUCUAUCCACCACUCUUUCUCUCCCUCACUCUUUCCUCGUAUCUACCCCUCCAUCCUGCCUCAGUCACUCCGUGUGAAUUAUCUCGUCUGUCAAUUCUAAUUUGCUCCUUCUUUAUUUCUCUCAUUAUCCCUCUGUUCCAGCAGUCUCCCCUUCCUCAUCUCGCUCUCUCCUUCUCGCUGCAAAGGCUAACCUACUUACAACACAGCUGUCUGAUGAAUAAUGGAGCAGAGACAGUUACUAUCAGCAUUUCCAUCAGCGGGAUCCCGCCUUUGAUCUCCGCUCCUUUCCCUUCUGCCUUUCCUCGCAACUCCCCGGUGUCUCCUUGCAUCCUUUCACUUCUUACAUUCUCUCCUCUGUUUAUGGUUCUAUGGACGGUUUGUUCUAAAUUUACAAAAUCCAUCUGUAAACAUUGUGGUUAGCCAUUUGGGGAAGAAUUGUAUUGCGAUAUUUAAAGGGCAACUUUAGUAUUUUGUAUUCCAGCAUUUCCCCGUGUUUUUGUGUCUAAUUGACUAAUGGAGACAAAAAUGUAUUUAAUUGGUGCAGUAUUGCGUGAGAUCAUUGUAAGUGGAGCCGCUGCGAGGGCAAUUGUUGCAGCGAUGCACACUAAUGUCACGUCCAAGAGCGGUUGGUUUUGCUUUUGAGAUUUUUCCCUCGCCUUGCAGCAAUAACCUUUUAUUAUUAUGGCUUAAAUAGAGACUUAAUUGUUUUUUGCUAACCUCCUGUGUUUUUUACUUCUCUGCUUAUUGAAGCGAUAUAACGUGUUAGUACACAGGGGCUUCGCUGUUCAACACUUCUGACCACAUCCAUACGGUUAACAGUUCGCUGUUAAUUUACUCAUCAAACGCACAUUUACAGAUGUUUUUUCCGCUUGGGGCAGCAGAAGACACGUUUUUACACAACUGUGACAAAUCAUCGCUUUUAAAGUCGAUUUGCAAACAUUUUUAUGGACCAUCCGGAUGAUUCAUCGCAAGUAAGGUUUCUGGUGACAAAUGUACAACCAGUACCGACUCGCUUCCAGCGCCAACUACAAGCAACUGCUUACAGAUUGAGACAUGUUUUUCAGCAUAUAACAAUGUUAUUGCAAACAUAUAUAGUUGAGUGUGUGGAAACAUCAUUUUAUAUCCUGUCUUCACCUGCUUGGACUCACACAAGUUACGUCAGCAUUGGCCAUUUAGUAAUCAUGUGAGUUGCUACAUGUUAUUUUCCUGAACCUAAACUCCUGUGAAGAUGGAAGUUUACAAAACGGACAGAAACCAAAAAUGUCCUAUAAAAAAAGAUGAACUACAUAGAGUUUUAAUGAAGACUGAAUAUUUGAAUGUAAAUGUACUAACUGCUAACUGUGAUACAAACCUGCAUCUCACAGGCUUUUGUGGGGCCAGCUGGUAGACGCUGGCUGGACUCCAUCCUCCAGAUCAUCCUGUUUACUCGACAGUCGCGUGGGUACAAAUCUUAUCUCAUCAAAUGUUUAUGUGACUCUUUCUCACACCUUCUCACUCCCCCCACGCCACAUGACCCAUCCAUCCAUCCUCUCGCUACUCUGCCCCCCACACACCCCAUCUUUCACACAUUUCCUGAACCUCUGCUUACUGAGCUGAAAGAAAAGUGCCGUCUGUAUCUUCAGUCGGUUAGUCUCUACUUUGGCCUGCCAGUCAACAAGUCUGUUUUGUAUCUUCCACCUAAACCACAGUGCGGAUUAGCGCGAAGAAAGCAAAAAAGUCCAGGCGGAAGACGAUUUGACGCGGGAGACGCAGUUAGAGUUGAGUAUUUGGGUGUGAGAGAGGCUUGGCAGUGUGUGUGUGUGGUCAAGGCGGUUUACACAAUGCCAUUCUAAAGGAUGAGUGGGGCUGUGGGUCAAUAAUAACAAAUGUGUUAUCUUUUCAAACCACACCACUUGCACGACUGGUAAAAAGAGUUGAGAACAAACCAAAAUUCAUGAAAUUAUAAAAGAAUAAGCCACGUGAAUAUUUUUGAGGGACAGCUGUGCACAUCUGCCUGCAUGCCCACACGCAGCGCGGCUGACGGCAGGCUGAUUCACCGACCCGUCACUCCACGUCCUAGUCCACAUUUUUUUGCCUCACGGUGAUAAACAUCACGUAUGAGAUCAGUGUUGUAAAGAUCUAUGUACAAAUAUGGCAGGUGUAAAGAGUGACUGGUCACUGUGCAACAAUUUUCCAGCUCAUAGUUCAUUUAUUCUAUAAUUUCCUUUAGACUGGGACCAGCUGGAAAUCUCUCAACACUUUCUCAUUGUGCUCCUUAACCUCAUAACCCUCAUUCCCAUCUUCAUCCUCAUCUUUCUCUUUGCUGCUACUGUUCCCCCCCCAAAACCCAUUUUCACCUCUCCCCUGCCUCCUUGGCCGCCAUACAUUUAAUGUCUUAUAUUGAUUAACAGACAGAAAUGAAUGGGAUGUGUUUCCCCUUUCCCCGCUCAUAUUUCAACCAGCAGCUAAUCAAUACACGGAGGCCUGACAGCAAGGACACCGGCUCACUUACAGCAAAGGAUUGAGCUGUGUGUGUGUGUGUGUGUGUGUGUGUGAGUGUGCACGUGAGUGGCACGGGGUUUACUAGACGUGUUAAAAUCGAUGACACAUGAACGAGCGCUAAUGGGACUCUUUAUGUACAAAAAAAACAAGCAAUAUUUUGAAUUUAAUUGUACCGCAUACAUAUGUUGGGCGGUCAUAUUUAAGGGUAAACAAAUAAUAAUACUAUUCAAAGUUUAUUUUCAGCCACAUACUCUUUUUUUGUAUAUUUGUAGUUUACUCUCCUAAAGAAUGUAUUUCUGAUCAAUUGUAGAGCUAUAUGCUGUAUCUAUAUGUAUAUAUGAAAUGCUUUAAAACAAUGAUGAUGCGUAGAGGAUUUACAGCAUGCAUCAGUUGAGGAAACAUACGCAAUCACAAGGUACAUAAUGGGCCUCAAUAUUACAUUACGUGUCAUUUAGCUGACGCUUUUAUCCAAAGCGACUUACAAUAAGUGCGUUCAACCAUAAGGAUACAAACUCAGUUUUAAGUUUUGCUCUCAGUGAGGGAGGGACGAGCAGUUUAUCAGGUGCAGAGCGGAGAGUGCGGGUCGGGAUGUCGGGUUGGACCACGUCCUGGAUGUAAGCUGGACCCGAUCCAUUCACAGCACGGUACGUGAGCACCCAGUCACCACCAGUAGCCAGUGAAGAGAGCGGAGGAGCGGAGUAGUGUGGGAGAAUUUAGGAAGGUUGAAGACCAGUCGAGCUGCUGCAUUCUGGAUGAGCUGCAGAGGUCGAAUGGCGGUGGCAGGGAGACCUGCAGGAGGGAGUUGCAGCAGUCCAGGUGUGAGAUGACAAGAGCCUGAAUCAGUACCUGCGCCGUAUUCUCCUGAUGUUGUAGAGCGUGUAUCUACAGGAUCGCGUUGUGAUGUUGGGAGUCAGGGAGACUUGGCUGUCACGUGUCACGCCGAGGUUCCUAGUGGUCAAAGUGGGCGUUAGCACGGAGUUGCCAAAGUUAACCGUCAAGUCCUGUGUAGAAGAAUCUUUUCCCAGAAAGAGAAGUAGUUCAGUCUCGUCUGGGUAUAUAUUAAUAAAUGUAAAAAU
This is a long non-coding RNA of Gasterosteus aculeatus aculeatus (three-spined stickleback), 9651 nucleotides long. The record is from Ensembl. NCBI's taxonomy places the organism in Eukaryota, Metazoa, Chordata, Actinopteri, Perciformes, Gasterosteidae.